RNAcentral lists this ribosomal RNA (701 nucleotides) under Kwoniella europaea. RNAcentral's name for it is "partial large subunit ribosomal RNA". It matches the Rfam family "Eukaryotic large subunit ribosomal RNA", at positions 77 to 772 of the family's 3401-position model. Lineage: Eukaryota; Fungi; Basidiomycota; Tremellomycetes; Tremellales; Cryptococcaceae. The record is from RNAcentral.
UCCUUAGUACGGCGAGUGAACCGGGAAGAGCUAAAUUUGAAAUCUGGCGUCCUCCGGGCGUCCGAGUUGUAAUCUAUAGAAGCGUUUUCCGCGCCGGACCGUGUAUAAGUCUCCUGGAACGGAGUAUCAAAGAGGGUGACAAUCCCGUGCUUUACACGAUGACCGGUGCUAUGUGAUACGUUCUCUACGAGUCGAGUUGUUUGGGAAUGCAGCUCAAAACGGGUGGUAAACUCCAUCUAAAGCUAAAUAUUGGUGGGAGACCGAUAGCGAACAAGUACCGUGAGGGAAAGAUGAAAAGCACUUUGGAAAGAGAGUUAAACAGUAUGUGAAAUUGUUGAAAGGGAAACGAUUGAAGUCAGUCGUGUCCAUUGGGUUCAGCCGGUCCUGCCGGUCUACUCCCUUUGGACGGGUCAACAUCAGUUCUGACCGGCGGAUAAUGGCACGAGGAACGUGGCACCCUCCGGGGUGUGUUAUAGCCUCGCGUCGCAUACGCUGGUCGGGACUGAGGAACGCAGCUCGCCUUCAUGGCCGGGGUACGCCCACGUACGAGCUUAGGAUGUUGACAUAAUGGCUUUAAACGACCCGUCUUGAAACACGGACCAAGGAGUCUAACAUAUCUGCGAGUGUUUGGGUGUCAAACCCGAGCGCGUAAUGAAAGUGAACGUAGGAGGGAUGCGCAAGCAGCACCUUCGACCGAUCCG